UACGUAGGGUGCGAGCGUUGUCCGGAAUUAUUGGGCGUAAAGAGCUCGUAGGCGGUCUGUCGCGUCGGUCGUGAAAACUUGGGGCUUAACCCUGAGCUUGCGGUCGAUACGGGCAUGACUGGAGUUCGGCAGGGGAGACUGGAAUUCCUGGUGUAGCGGUGAAAUGCGCAGAUAUCAGGAGGAACACCAGUGGCGAAGGCGGCUCACUGGUCCGGUACUGACGCUGAGGUGCGAAAGCGUGGGGAGCAAACAGG
Molecule: ribosomal RNA, 254 nt
Filed under: uncultured bacterium
Lineage: Bacteria
Description: partial 16S ribosomal RNA
Rfam family: Bacterial small subunit ribosomal RNA
Source: RNAcentral